GUAAUCCUUUGGAAACACAACGCUCUUGUUCAGAAAAUGUUCUAAGCAUCAGCCCAGCAAUUACAGCCUAACUUCAGUGAUGGACUUUCUCAAUGGUGGAAUUGUGAUUUCCCAGGAGACACUUCACAGAACUGGUCUUUUCAAGUGGAAAAAUGUAACAAAUUAAAAAAAAUACAUCAAGUGCCUGUUCCUUCUAAUUGCUGCAUGAAGAUAAAGAUGGAAGGAAUCCAAAGUCUGGAUCGCGUCAGGGAGCAGGGCCGGAUCUCAAUGCAGGUGGGAAAUGGGCAUGUUGAAUCUACUUGGUAAAUGGAUGAGAGAAAGAGAUUCUGAAGAACCCGAAGGAGCAGUGACUUUCAAGAAUCUCCAGAGUCAUAUUCUAAAGGCACCAGGUUGCUUAUUGAAACCAGAAAGCAUUGAUAAAGUUGACUUGUUCAAAGUGCUGGUUGGAUUUUCCAAGGAGCCAUUUUUUAACUGCAUUUUCUGAAUUGCCUGUAAAGAAAUAACCACUGACAAACCAAUUCAAUGGUUAGUAUAAAAAAAAGGAAGGACAGUAAAAUGUGGGAGUAAAUGUGGGCUAUUUAGCCCAUCAAUGCUGCUCUGCCAUUCAAUGAGAUCAUGGAUAAUCCUGAAAUACACUUUCCUGCCUU
This is a non-coding RNA of Chiloscyllium plagiosum (whitespotted bambooshark), 647 nucleotides long. The record is from RefSeq and is a predicted model, not a curated record. NCBI's taxonomy places the organism in Eukaryota, Metazoa, Chordata, Chondrichthyes, Orectolobiformes, Hemiscylliidae.